AUUGAACGCUGGCGGCAGGCCUAACACAUGCAAGUCGAGCGGAUGAAGGGAGCUUGCUCCUGGAUUCAGCGGCGGACGGGUGAGUAAUGCCUAGGAAUCUGCCUGGUAGUGGGGGAUAACGUCCGGAGACGGGCGCUAAUACCGCAUACGUCCUGAGGGAGAAAGUGGGGGAUCUUCGGACCUCACGCUAUCAGAUGAGCCUAGGUCGGAUUAGCUAGUUGGUGGGGUAAAGGCCUACCAAGGCGACGAUCCGUAACAGGUCUGAGAGGAUGAUCAGUCACACUGGAACUGAGACACGGUCCAGACUCCUACGGGAGGCAGCAGUGGGGAAUAUUGGACAAUGGGCGAAAGCCUGAUCCAGCCAUGCUGCGUGUGUGAAGAAGGUCUUCGGAUUGUAAAGCACUUUAAGUUGGGAGGAAGGGCAGUAAGUUAAUACCUUGCUGUUUUGACGUUACCAACAGAAUAAGCACCGGCUAACUUCGUG
RNAcentral lists this ribosomal RNA (484 nucleotides) under uncultured bacterium. RNAcentral's name for it is "partial 16S ribosomal RNA". It matches the Rfam family "Bacterial small subunit ribosomal RNA", at positions 30 to 507 of the family's 1533-position model. The record is from RNAcentral.